AACGAACGCUGGCGGCAGGCUUAACACAUGCAAGUCGAACGCCCCGCCAGGGGAGUGGCAGACGGGUGAGUAACGCGUGGGAACAUACCCUUUUCUACGGAAUAGCUCUGGGAAACUGGAAUUAAUACCGUAUACGCCCUACGGGGGAAAGAUUUAUCGGGGAAGGAUUGGCCCGCGUUGGAUUAGCUAGUUGGUGGGGUAAAGGCCUACCAAGGCGACGAUCCAUAGCUGGUCUGAGAGGAUGAUCAGCCACAUUGGGACUGAGACACGGCCCAAACUCCUACGGGAGGCAGCAGUGGGGAAUAUUGGACAAUGGGCGCAAGCCUGAUCCAGCCAUGCCGCGUGAGUGAUGAAGGCCUUAGGGUUGUAAAGCUCUUUCACUGAUGAAGAUAAUGACGGUAGUCGGAGAAGAAGCCCCGGCUAACUUCGUG
This 431-nucleotide ribosomal RNA is filed under the name uncultured bacterium. RNAcentral's name for it is "partial 16S ribosomal RNA". It matches the Rfam family "Bacterial small subunit ribosomal RNA", at positions 29 to 507 of the family's 1533-position model. The record is from RNAcentral.